GUGUUGUGAAAUGUUGGGUUAAGUCCCGUAACGAGCGCAACCCUUGUCCUUAUUUGCCAGCACGUAAUGGUGGGAACUCUAAGGAGACUGCCGGUGACAAACCGGAGGAAGGUGGGGACGACGUCAAGUCAUCAUGGCCCUUACGAGUAGGGCUACACACGUGCUACAAUGGCCGGUACAAAGGGCUGCCAACUCGCGAGAGUGAGCGAAUCCCUUAAAGCCGGUCUCAGUCCGGAUCGGAGUCUGCAACUCGACUCCGUGAAGUCGGAAUCGCUAGUAAUCGUGAAUCAGAAUGUCACGGUGAAUACGUUCCCGGGCCUUGUACACACCGCCCGUCACACCAUGGGAGUGGCCUGCACCAGAAGUGGUUAGCCUAACGCAAGAGGGCGAUCACCACGGUGUGGUUCAUGACCGGGAAAGUCGUAAC
Molecule: ribosomal RNA, 427 nt
Filed under: uncultured bacterium
Lineage: Bacteria
Description: bacterial SSU rRNA
Rfam family: Bacterial small subunit ribosomal RNA
Source: RNAcentral